UUUGUGAAUAUAUUUAUUGGAAAUGCUUUUUCUUCUUGGGUCAUACAUAAUGGAAGUAAUCUCAGAUUCACUGAGAGCCUGGUACUGAAAAUGCCAAUGAUCCAAAACAAUACUUUAGGCCCAUUAAAAUUAGGUGCAGUGUGACAUCAUAUAUUAUUUUCCCACAUGGGUCAUAGUUGCGAUGUAGAACAAGAAGAAUCCAAAACAAGUUCUCAUAACUUUUAUUAAUCAUAAUAAUAAGCUCCUAAUAAAUACCUAGACAUAGGUAUUUUUACUUUAUCAACUAAUCCUUAUCCUAAUUAAUUAGGACUACUAAAUCAAAGCAAACUAGGAAUAUAAAACCGAUCCUAACUAGGAAAUUCUAACUCUAAUAGAAUAAUUAUAUAAUAAAUUUUAAGCCUAAUAGGAUUCUUAAAUAAUAAAAAUCUAAA
Molecule: unclassified non-coding RNA, 431 nt
Filed under: Hevea brasiliensis (rubber tree)
Lineage: Eukaryota; Viridiplantae; Streptophyta; Magnoliopsida; Malpighiales; Euphorbiaceae
Source: RNAcentral